Molecule: ribosomal RNA, 503 nt
Filed under: uncultured bacterium
Lineage: Bacteria
Description: partial 16S ribosomal RNA
Rfam family: Bacterial small subunit ribosomal RNA
Source: RNAcentral
UGGGGAAUUUUGGACAAUGGGCGCAAGCCUGAUCCAGCCAUGCCGCGUGCGGGAAGAAGGCCUUCGGGUUGUAAACCGCUUUUGUCAGGGAAGAAAUCUUCUGAGUUAAUACCUCGGGAGGAUGACGGUACCUGAAGAAUAAGCACCGGCUAACUACGUGCCAGCAGCCGCGGUAAUACGUAGGGUGCAAGCGUUAAUCGGAAUUACUGGGCGUAAAGCGUGCGCAGGCGGUUUUGUAAGACAGAGGUGAAAUCCCCGGGCUCAACCUGGGAACUGCCUUUGUGACUGCAAGGCUUGAGUGCGGCAGAGGGGGGAUGGAAUUCCGCGUGUAGCAGUGAAAUGCGUAGAUAUGCGGAGGAACACCGAUGGCGAAGGCAAUCCCCUGGGCCUGCACUGACGCUCAUGCACGAAAGCGUGGGGAGCAAACAGGAUUAGAUAGCCCUGGUAGUCCACGCCCUAAACGAUGUCAACUGGUUGUUGGGAAGGUUCCUUCUCAGUAACGU